UUAUCUUUCCCCGAGGAAGUAGGGUCCUGGAAACUUAACUUGGGCUUCCAGAUGUUAUUAUGAGCCCCCGUUCCCCAAGUCUGCAUGCUUAUGGAGCGGUGAGUGUGUUUCUCUAUCUAACUUAGAAACUGGGGAGAUGUACCAACAACCCCCAACUCACUAGAAAACAAUAGAAAAAGGAAUGAUACUCAAAAUGUCAAUACAGCUAAAACUGAGAAGCACACCUAGGAGACCACAAGCAUCUGAAAGCCUGAUUGGUCAGAUCUGGAAAAAGAGUGUUCCAAAGCUCAUAAAGGAAUGGGAAGAGAGUUUAUCACACAUUUCAUUGAUCAGGAAUCUUUGCUGAAGAGUUGACAGCUGAGUGUAAGAGCCUGAGGGAAAGGAUGAAGCAUUGGGAAAUUGCUGCAUUCCUCUGAAGUGACAUCUGUGAGUGCUGAUUUAUGAUCUAACUGAAGGCCAUGUGUAGAAAUAAGGACAACCAUAUAUAUGUGUCUAGGACAACCGUAAUGGUGAAGAGACGGUCAACUCUCUGGAUGAAUCAAGGACCCUCACCUGGGACUUUAAGUAUCAUUUCCUCCUGCCGCCAUCUCUAUACACCUUUGACAGUGGUCUGGAGGACUACAGAGGUGGUGCGAGGCUACCUGAAGGAAGGAUUCUAGAAAAGUAGCUCUCCUCAGUUGGUAUCCACACUGCUGAAAAGUUAAGGGAUGCAGCUGUCUUUGACUCCGCCAUGCUCCUGGGCACUCCUGCUGCUGAUAUUGUCAAACCUCCUUCUGUGGAAGAGUGUGGCCUCUGUGCCCAAGUGUGAAGUAAUAAAUGGUCAAUGCCAGCUGACUCUCGAGCACUUGCUUAAUCGGGCACGUGGCCUAUCUAAGAACAUCAAUCACCUCACUUCAGAAAUAUUCAAUGAGUUUGAUGAAAAUUAUGCUUCAGGUCCAGUCUUAUCAGACAAAAUCCUCCGGCUAUGCUACAAAUAUUCCCUCCGUGUACCAUAUAAAACAGUGCAAGACCAAGAGAUUCAGGUCCUUUUGAACAUGACUAUAGGUAUGUUGAUUGGCUGGAACAACACUCUGAUGCAUGUAGUAGCAGAUAUUGCUGAUCUGGAGUCAAUUCCUGGUGUUGGAGCUUUUAUUUCUAAAGUCAGAGAGAUAGCUGCAAAAUUCAUAAGGUUAUCAACAGUACUAAAGGAAGUCAAGUCAUUACUCAACCUGCCCAAUAUCAGCACCCCUACUCCUUCAAGUACCCUGUCACACAGAUCUUCCCUCCAUUCCCCUCUCCUCUUCUCCUCUGAGGAAGUGAAGUCCGCUCCUGGGUAUCUUCCCUGAAGAUCCCUCCCAGCACAGCAAGUGAAUGCAGGACUAGGUGUAUCCUCUUCCACUGAAGCCAGAUGGAGGGAUCAGAUGAGAGCUGUGCCCAUGCUUUAUGAAUGCAUGGAUUGGACCAAGCCCAAAGCAUUUCUAUCUAAGUGUCCUUAGGUAUAAGUCUGGAAGCUGCCAGCAUCUGUAAAAUCUAAUCUUCUGAAAACCUAUACCUUAAGGGCUUCAGUUUUAAGCCUCUAUGUGCUUAAGCUAGGCCUAGAACGUUUCAGCUUCUGAGACUUACUGCUGAAUAAAUUUACUCUUUCUAAGCUCUUU
Molecule: RNA transcript, 1634 nt
Organism: Mastomys coucha (southern multimammate mouse)
Lineage: Eukaryota; Metazoa; Chordata; Mammalia; Rodentia; Muridae
Gene name: prolactin-5A1-like
Exons: 7
Source: RefSeq, a predicted model, not a curated record